This 319-nucleotide long non-coding RNA is filed under the name Bos indicus x Bos taurus (hybrid cattle). Its description in RNAcentral is "lncRNA (ENSBIXG00000029676.1)". The record is from RNAcentral. Lineage: Eukaryota; Metazoa; Chordata; Mammalia; Artiodactyla; Bovidae.
GCAGUGUCGAUUUCGCAUGAAGGACAGCAAGUUCUGCUGUUCUGCGUGCCUGGGUGCUGUUCCAGUGUUUUUCUCCGUGUCAGAUGCUGCUCCCAGUGCAGGGAUGUGUGAGCAUUCUGUUUUUGGCUUCUGUCGGUGAACUAUUAAGGUAUGAAACAACAAUAAAAUGCCAUUAUUAUCUUUGGAGAGACAAGAUGGAAUCCAUUAAAUAAGAAGAUGCCAGUACAGAGGAAAAUCCAGAGGGGAAAAAAGAAUUCUUGGAAAUUAAAAUUGUGAUUUUAAAUACUUAAUAAAAUGGUUGGAAGAUAAUAUUUUCCCA